GACGAACGCUGGCGGCGUGCUUAACACAUGCAAGUCGAACGGUGAAGCGCCUUCCUUUUUGGUGGGUGUGGAUGAGUGGCGAACGGGUGAGUAACACGUGAGUAACCUGCCCCCUUCUUCUGGAUAACCGCAUGAAAGUGUGGCUAAUACGGGAUAUUCUGGGUCUGUCGCAUGAUGGGUCUGGGAAAGAUAUUGUUUCGGUGGGGGAUGGGCUCGCGGCCUAUCAGCUUGUUGGUGGGGUGAUGGCCUACCAAGGCGGUGACGGGUAGCCGGCCUGAGAGGGUGGACGGUCACACUGGGACUGAGACACGGCCCAGACUCCUACGGGAGGCAGCAGUGGGGAAUAUUGCACAAUGGGAGCAAGCCUGAUGCAGCGACGCCGCGGGAGGGAUGGAGGCCUUCGGGUUGUGAACCUCUUUCGCCAGUGAAGCAGGCCUGCCUCGUUUGUGGGUGGGUUGACGGUAGCUGGAGAAGAAGCGCCGGCUAACUACGUG
Molecule: ribosomal RNA, 494 nt
Filed under: uncultured bacterium
Lineage: Bacteria
Description: partial 16S ribosomal RNA
Rfam family: Bacterial small subunit ribosomal RNA
Source: RNAcentral